This 73-nucleotide transfer RNA is filed under the name Lachnospiraceae bacterium. Its description in RNAcentral is "tRNA-Val". It matches the Rfam family "tRNA". Rfam says of the family: Transfer RNA (tRNA) molecules are approximately 80 nucleotides in length. Their secondary structure includes four short double-helical elements and three loops (D, anti-codon, and T loops). Further hydrogen bonds mediate the characteristic L-shaped molecular structure. tRNAs have two regions of fundamental functional importance: the anti-codon, which is responsible for specific mRNA codon recognition, and the 3' end, to which the tRNAs corresponding amino acid is attached (by aminoacyl-tRNA synthetases). tRNAs cope with the degeneracy of the genetic code in two manners: having more than one tRNA (with a specific anti-codon) for a particular amino acid; and 'wobble' base-pairing, i.e. permitting non-standard base-pairing at the 3rd anti-codon position. The record is from RNAcentral. Lineage: Bacteria; Bacillati; Bacillota; Clostridia; Lachnospirales; Lachnospiraceae.
GGACGAGUAGCUCAGCUGGGAGAGCAUCUGCUUGACGUGUAGGAGGUCGCAGGUUCGAGCCCUGUCUCGUCCA